GGCUAGAACGAACGCUGGCGGCGUGCUUACACAUGCAAGUCACGGGGGCCCGCAAGGGCAACCGGCGAACGGGUGCGUAACACGUGAGCAACCUGCCUAGAUGUGGGGGAUAGCCGGCCCAACGGCCGGGUAAUACCGCAUACGGUCACGGGGAGGAGUCUCCUUGUGAAGAAACCUCCGGGGCAUUUAGAGGGGCUCGCGGCCUAUCAGCUAGUUGGCGGGGUAAUGGCCCACCAAGGCAUCGACGGGUAGCUGGUCUGAGAGGAUGGCCAGCCACAUUGGGACUGAGAAACGGCCCAGACUCCUACGGGAGGCAGCAGUGGG
RNAcentral lists this ribosomal RNA (324 nucleotides) under uncultured Gemmatimonas sp. RNAcentral describes it as "bacterial SSU rRNA". It matches the Rfam family "Bacterial small subunit ribosomal RNA", at positions 26 to 358 of the family's 1533-position model. The record is from RNAcentral. Lineage: Bacteria; Pseudomonadati; Gemmatimonadota; Gemmatimonadia; Gemmatimonadales; Gemmatimonadaceae.